Molecule: non-coding RNA, 150 nt
Organism: Penaeus vannamei (Pacific white shrimp)
Lineage: Eukaryota; Metazoa; Arthropoda; Malacostraca; Decapoda; Penaeidae
Source: RefSeq, a predicted model, not a curated record
GUCGAUAAGGAUAGAGGCGGAAACCCGACGGCCAACCUGCAGUACGACUACAACCCCAACGACCGCUUCAGUCUCCACGCGGGAGGAAGCCACACCUUUGGCGGCGGCGGAAGCAGUUACAGGGCCGGUUUCUCGUGGAAAUUCCGUCGG